This 10983-nucleotide long non-coding RNA is filed under the name Nicotiana tabacum (common tobacco). RNAcentral's name for it is "long non-coding RNA (NTAB_LNC000369)". Lineage: Eukaryota; Viridiplantae; Streptophyta; Magnoliopsida; Solanales; Solanaceae. The record is from RNAcentral.
UCCUUUUCUUCUUUUUUUUUUCUCUCUUUCUUCUCUCAUCUUCCUUGUCUCUCUUCUGCAAUUUCACCAUUAACACUCAUCUCUUUGUUGUUUUCAUCUCCUUAUUUCUCCAUCUGGAUGGAAAAGAAAAAAAUAUAGUUCUUGAUAGCUGAAAAUAAUUCUUUGAUUGGAAUUUAUUUUCUUGAAGAGACAUUAACUAGCACCUUUUUCUCCCUCAAACUGACAUUGAAAAAUUUUCUUCUUUGGUAGAAUAAGAUUUGAAUAACCAAAAGUCCGAACAACCAGCAAUGGUAUCAAUUACCGUCGAAGGAUUCAGCCCACAAAAAAAACAGGUGCUUCGAUAAACUAAAAAUGAAAUUAAUUUUAUUUUGUUCUUUCUUCUUACCAGUUCUUUCUUUGUGUCUAUUUCUUAUUUUUAUCCCUAAUAUUGUUGUGGAAGAAUGAUCCAGAAUCGUAGCAAUAGAAUUUUGAUUUGGUGAUGAUUUAGUUUUCUAGAUUUUAGUUUAAUCAUGAUUUUAAUUUUCAGAUAUUGGUUAGAUGCUAACUUUAAUUUUCAGAUUUUAAUUAGGUGGUGAAUUUAGAAUUUUAGGGUUAUGAUUUGGUGGUGAUUUAGUUUUUGAUUUCAAUUUAGUGGUGGUUUGAUGAUUUUAGUGGUGGAUAUGAUUGUUAUGGCAGUGAUAUUGGAGGCUAAAGUGGUGGCAAUGUUAACGGAGAAGAAGAAAGAAAGAAAAAAGAAUAAGGAAAAGAGAAACAAAAAGAAAGAAAAGAAAAACAAAAGAUAAAUGAAAUAAAUAAUGAAUAAAAAGAAAAUGAUAUGGCCUCAUGUGAUUGGUGCGUGUGUGUUAGUUUGUGUGAGUCCACCAAACAGUAGAGUAUCUGGUUCUCUACGAGAUUCUGCUGAGAAUGCGAAUAAAGCAGUACGUAAAUAAGACAGAUGAUUUUUAUGUGGAAACAUCUCACACAAGGGGAUCAAAAAACCACGACCUAUACUUGUAGGCUUUAAGCUUCACUAACUUGUAAAAACCUAUUACAAGCCACUUUGCAAUGACUCCAUUACAAAGAAUUUACUCAACUAACUUGUGGUACUCUUACCACAAGCCAUUUUGUGACUUCCUAGUUACAAAGGCUUUUACUAACUUGUGAUUCUCUCACCACAAGCUACUUUGUAACUCUACGAUUACAAAGAUUUUUGCUUAUGACAUACCUAGUCACAACAUAAACUCAAGGAGUUUAUGGAUUUACAAGAGGAUUCCUAAUNNNNNNNNNNNNNNNNNNNNNNNNNAAGCUAUCUUUUAGGAACUGGUCCGUAGUUGCGUUCAACUUUGUUCUUCAAGCUUGUGAGGAUUGACUUCUCUGUUUUUUGCAAGAAGCUUGAAUGAGAAACUGAAACCUUCAAGUGAUGUUUUGUAUAAACUCAUUGUAGGUACAUCUUGAUCACAUCACUUGAAAUGAUGUGAGCACUUUAGUUGGUCAGAGAAUGAGUGGGCGCUGGAGACAGUGCAGUGCGGCAAAAAUAGUGCAGUCAGUCACUUCAUUUCCAGAUGUGACCAAUUGACUUGUACUGUGAUGAGGAAACCACAAGGGUAUCAGGUCCUUGUUUGGAUUCCUAGCUCCUGAAGCUGUAGCAGUUUCCAUUUAGAUGGAAUUAGUUAAGCUUGCAGUAUAGUCCGAGUAGGUCAGGUUCCCUAUCUGGUUCUUAACAGUAAGUUUGUUAGAUCAUCAAAACAUAAGGCAAGAACAUUUAAAACUUAUCAAUUUCCCCUUUUUGAUGAUGACAUACUUAACAAUUAUAGAGUGGAUUUAGAACAGUAAGAACCGGAUUAUGUAACACGAUAACACAAGUUUUCCCUGACUCUAUCAGGAUAACACAGGUUCCCCCUGAAACACAGGCCCCGUGUUAUUUUUCCCCCUUUUGGCAUCAUUAAAAAAGAAAGAAUAACAGUACAAAGAAGUCCAGAUAAGCUAACUCAAGCCACAUAUGUGCACACAAUCAUGAUAGAGAAUAGAAACACAGAAGGAAAGUACUGGCAUAAUAAAAUAAGGAUUGAUAUUAAUAUAACUUUAAUAUGUCUUUGCUUUGAAAAAGCGAAAGGCAACAUUGGACUUAUUAAAACGUGAGGAGUAGUGUUUCAUCCCAACCACAUAAAAAAGAAAACAAAAACAUCCGCCAAAACAUCAAAGAAAAAAUAACAAACAUUUCUAGAAACUGGUCACUGAAGGGGUACUUAAGGGGCACUAGGAGUAAAGGGCUUGGAAGCUGCAGCAAGUGUUUGCAGAAUGAGGUCUAUUCGGGCAUUUCCUGACUUUUGCUCAUUGAGCAGUUCUGCCUUCAGGUUCUCUACUUGCGCCCUGAGAUCAACAUUCUCCUUUGUCAAAUGAGCCACUUCAUCAUUUGACACCGGAACCCCUUGGGCUUGUUGACUUUCCAAGAUAGCAUUCCUGGACUUCAACCGACUAAUUUCCUUAGUUGCACUGUUCUGAGCAUUAAUAAGCUGUGAGGCGGUUGAUACCCCCCAUUCUUUUCCAUGCACUCGCACUCUUCCAAAGUUGUCUGCGAUAAAGUCUGCUUCCUAGUUCCCACCUUGCCUAUCCCCAGUGGGACUUCAAAGAAUCUGAACAUUUGUGUAACCAGGAACCCAUAGGGAAGACCAUGAUUACCAUUUUUGAAAGUGGCAACCUUUUGCAUGUGCUCAAUCAUAAUAGCAGGAAGACUCACAGGAGUAAAACUGUCCAGUUGCUCCAUCAAGAAUAGGUCAGACUUAGAAGUCACUGACCUCCUCUCAGCUCGAGGCAAUAGAACUUUGUUAACCAAUUCGAACAGCAGCUGAUAGACAGGGAGUAGCACUUUCUUAUGGAUCUGGUCCCCUUUCUGGUUUGCAUUGGUUUUUAUAACAGCAUUUCUGAAAUUAAACUGACACACAUCUUUUACACUGGACACACCAGCUAUAGGAACUUUUAGGAUCUCUCCAAGCAACUUUACAUCGAACAUAAUGUCCACCCCAUUGACCAAGGCACAAAUGUGGUCAGUCUCAACUGGAAAGAAGCUAGCAAAGAAGCUUUGUACCUUAUCCUCGUAUACCUUAGGUGCAUCAGUUUGAAAUAGAUGCGCCCAACAUUGAAACUCAACCAUUUCCAGAAUUUGGCGCAUUCCAGCCAUUUCAGAGAUUGUUGGGUCAAAUGUACGACCCAACAGAACAUUUUGAUGCCUCAAGCGUUCAGAGACAAGGCUGACUUCGCUUCUCAUUCUCUUCACAUAACCAGUGUUUUCAAAAGUUUCAAACUUGCGUUUGUCGGACUUCUCUCCACUGAUUUUUCCUUUUCCUUUGGAUUUGAUUAGCACAUCCUUAUAAGACAUCAAAAACUCACUUACUAACUUCUUCAUCUUGGACCUAGAUAUUGACCCCUUCUCUACUAAAGCAGGCUUCGUCUUUUUUGAAGACCGUCUAACAAGUAAACCAGGUUCAUCUAGGGUUUCCUCUUCGACCUCGACUACAGGGAUCGCCUCAUCACUUACAGGUACAUCGUCUUUCACCAACUUUCUCCUUUUCUUCUUACUACUCUUCUUGCUCUUUUGAAGAGCAGAAUUGUAGGCCACCUUAACUUGAAGCCCGGUAGUAGGUCAUUUGGUUUCAGACUCAGGAGUGGACAUAACCCUCCGCUUGCUUAUGAAUGCAUCAAGAGCCACAUUGUCUAGGUCUUCUUCAUCACUUGAUCUUAUUUCAGGUGCUUGAAUUUCCAAGGGCAUAACAUCGAUUGUAGGAACAACAUUGUCAUGGGAAUGAGAGCCCUGACCUGUGUCCUCCGGAGAGGGAUCAGGUUCCUCAUGUGAUGCCCCAGUAGUAUCUGUGAGUGCAUCCCUUUCAAAAGUUACAACGGCCCUUCUUCCCCCACACCUUAUGCCUCUUUUAUCUGAGAGGUGAUCUCAUGCAGUACACCAUUAGCAGACACUACAAACACGGUUACAACAUUUGUCUCUUCCUCGCAUGGUGCUACCACUACCAUGGAAUUGGUAGUAAUGAUGGCAGAACUCAUUGUAACCUCAGGGUUUUGACCUUGUUCUCCACAUGGUUUUUGAUUGGGGGAGCCUCAGACGAUGGGGAGAACGAAGCAACAGUGUCAAGGGAUUCUGAAUUAGCAAGACACUAGGAAAUUGGGUGAGGUGUAACUGUAGCAGCAGGAGUAAUAGUAGAUAAGGAAGGUUCAGUGGGAGCGGAAGGCUCCAGAGAUUGAUUAGUAGUAGUUACAACUGAGGCAGGGAGAUCAGAAGUUGUCUCAGCCAUUAAAAAAGAAAAGACGAUGUUUUUGGGAAAUUCUAAUGGAAGACUUAUGGUUAGGAGACCAGAAAAUAGGGUUUUUAAAAGGAGAGGAUAAUUAUGAAGAAAGAGGAAUAGGCACCGGUUCUGAAACGGCGGUUAGGCAUAGAGAAUUGCAAUGUUUUAGAGGGAGAUGGAACGAUUUGAAAUGAAGAGACGUGAUAGCAGGAUCAGAAAAGUUGAUGACAUGGCAGUUGUGUUUUAUACCCUUUUUAAGACGUGUAUUAAAGGAUGCACAAAACUACUAACCUUUGGUACAAGAACCAGGUUCUUGACCUUUUUAUUUGAAAUAGUCAAUCCUCUUUUAUCAUGCAAGCACUGCAUCUACAACUUCUAUACUCAUCAUGUGUGUUUACCUGCAAUGGUAUUGAAGUGAGUUAGACAUGGCGAGAAAACACUUUUAGCCAGUUAUUUCUUGAAGGUGAAAGCUAGAUAAAGAGGAAUCAUGUUCUCAAUUGGACUUUAAAAGCCCCAACUUCACUCUGUUUCUUUCAAAUUGUUCCCUACUUAGCGCCUUGGUGAAUAUGUUCGCAAUUUGAUCUUUUGUGCUGCAGAACUUCAUACAUAUCAGCCCUUUCUCCACAUUAUCCCUCAGAAAAUGAUGCCACACAUCAAUAUGCUUUGUCCUUUUGUGUUGAACUAGAUUCUUAGCCAUGUUGAGUGCACUGGUGUUGUCACAUAGAAGGGGCACACUCUCAGUGAGUACCCCAAAGUUCUCCAGUUGCUGCUUGAACCAUAAAAGCUGAGCACAUAAGGAUGUUGUGGCUACAUAUUCAGCUUCAGCUAUUAAAAGAGCCACCGAAUUUUGCUUCCUUGUGCCCCAAGAGAUAAGGCAUGAACUUAAGAAGUGAGCCAUUACAGAAGUGCUUUUCCUGUCCACAAUAUAACCUGCAUAAUUUGUUUCAGCAUGCCCAAUCGGAUUAAAACUGUCACCUGACGGAUAAUACAUUACCAGGUCAUGGUUUGAAAACAAUAUCAGGUCUGCUAGCAGUGAGAUAGAAGAGAGACCCAAUAAUGCCUCUAUACAUGGUUUGAAUCACAUGAGAUCCAGUUUCAUCCAUGUCUAGUCGAGUGGCAGUAGCAAUGGGAGUGUCUAUCACCUUUGAUGCUUCCAUGUCAAACCUCUUCAAGAGCUCCCUGAUGUAUUUUUGUUGACAAAUGGAUAUACCCUUUCGGGACUAUUUUAGUUGAAGACCCAAGAAGAAGUUUAGUUCCCCUAUCAUGCUCAUUUCAAAUUCACUUCCCAUGAGUCUUGCAAAUUCUUCACACAGAGAAUCAGUUGUUGCCCCAAAAAUAAUAUCAUCAACAUAGACCUGAACAGUGAGCAGGUUCCUUCCUCGUUUCUUUAAGAAAAGAGUGUUGUCAAUUUUCCCUCUUUUAAAGCCAUUUUCCAAAAGGAACUUUGACAACCUUUCGUACCAAGCUCAAGGAGCCUACUUUAGCCCGUACAGAGCUUUGUCCAGUUUAAACACAUAUUCAGGGUACUCAUAACAUAUAAACCCUGGGAGUUACUUCACAUAGACUUCUUCCUUAAGGAGUCCAUUCAAAUAUUUACUCUUGACAUCCAUUUGGAAUAAGGUGAAUUCUAUAUGAGAUGCAAAAUCUAAUAGAAUUCUAAUAGCUUCCAUGCGAGCUACUGGAGCAAACGUUUCAUCAUAGUCAAUCCCUUCCUCCUGAUUGUAGCCUUGGACCACUAGUCUGGCCUUGUUCCUUGUGGUAAUCCCAUGUUCAUCGAGCUUGUUUCUGAAUACCCACCUGGUUCCUAUAAUUGUUCGAUCUGGGGGUCUAGGUACCAGGUGCCACACAUUAUUUCUCUCAAACUGAUGUAGCUCGUCUUGCAUGGUUGUAAUCCAAUCUACAUCUUUCAAGGCUUCCUUGAUAUUUUUGGGUUCUAUCUAGGAGAGAAAGACUGAGAAAGCAAGUGAAUUUCUGGCCCUUGACCUAGUUUCUACUCCGGAAUCUAGAGGAGUAAUAAUGUUGUCUAUUGGAUGAGAGCUUGGGUGUCUCCAGUUAGACGCUUGAGGUUCAUUCUGAUAGGAAGAGGGUAUGUUUGACUGAUUUUCUUUUGUCCUUCUUUCAGGUGCUAGUGGAGUUCCCUGAACUGCAUCAACCACCCUUUCUUCAGCUUCAGUAGUUGUAAUUGAGGUGUUUGGUUCUAUUGAACAUGAUGCAGCAUUGUCUUCAUUUAGCUCCUUUACUUGACUAAUCAUAUCUGCCUUUUUGUUUGUCAUGUUAAUGACUUCACCAAGGACUAGUGAGGGUUCUCCAUCUUGAUCUUCCUCAGCACUCUUCUCACAUGAUGGAUAAGACUCAUCAAAAAUAACAUGGACACUUUCCUCAACACAUUGAGUCCUCUUAUUAUAUAUCUUGUAAAUCUUACUUUGAGAUCCUUUCUAUUGUUAAGAACAUAGCAUUUGCACCCAAAUGUUCUUAGGUGGGUCAGCUUUGGUUUCCUUCCAUUUAACAAUUCAUAUGGGGUUUUGUUCAGAAAUAUCUAAUCAUGCACUGUUCACCAAGUAGCAGGCAGUGUUGACAGCUUUAGCCCAGAAGUUCUUUGCAAUUCCACUAUCGAUCAGCAUUGUUCUUGCCAUUUCUUCCAGAGUUCUGUUCUUCCUUUCUACUACUCCAUUUUGCUGGGGAGUUUUAGGAGCUGAAAAGUUAUGAGUGAUGCCAUUUUCAUUGUAGAAUUCAUCAAAUUUGACAUUGUCGAAUUCUGUCCCAUGAUCUGAUCUAAUGCAUGCAACUCUAGACUCCAUCUUCACCUAGAUUUUCUUCACAAAGGCCGCAAACACCUCAAUAGUUUCAUCUUUGGUUCUGAGAAACAGAGUCCAUGUGAAUCUGGAGUAGUCAUCUACUAUCACAAAAAUGUAUCUUUUUCCUCUUCAACUUUGCACUCUCAUAGGUCCAUGCAGAUCCAUAUGCAGAAGCUCUUGGGGCUUUGAGGUUCUCACAUCUCUUUUAGACUUAAAAUAGGACUUCACAUGUUUUCCUCUAGUACAAGCAUCACAGAUUUUUGCAUCUUGAAUUGUGACAUAGGCAGACCAUGAACCAGGUCAUUCUGAAUUAGUUUGUUUAGAAGAGAAAAACUUGCAUGGCCCAGUCUUCUGUUCCAUAGUUUAGCAUCAUCAUCAACAACUUUCAAACACCUCAGAUCACCACUCUGUAAGUACUCAAAAUCAGCAACAUAGAUGUUCUUGUAUCUUUUGGCCACAAGUAUUAUUUCACCGGUCACAAGAUCAGUGACUGUACAUAUUUUGGACAAGAAUUCCACCUUGUUUCCUUUGUCACAGAUUUGAGAGACACACAAGAGACUGUACUUAAGUCCAUUGACAUAGUACACAUUUUCAAUAGAAUGAGUGAGUGACUUUCCAACUUUUCCAACUCCAACAAUGUACCCCUUUUUUCCAUUGCCAAAGGAUACUCCCUCCUUGCAGGGCUUUCAGUGCAAGAAAGUCCGUAGUGUUCCCAGUCAUGUGCUUUGAAAACCCACUAUCCAUGAACCAUUGUUGACCACUUCCUUUCAUUGUUCCCUGCACAAAGGAUUAAGAGUUAGUUUUAGGAACCCAAGCAUGUUUAGGUCCCUUGUAGUAGGCAAGAGGAUGAAUCAGAGUUCUCUUAGUCCAUGUAGGUAAUGUAUGUUUCUUGUGAGUGGUACUUGGUCCCUCUUUUGUAGUCACCUUUUCAGCAAAUACUUUGUUUUUCUGAAUCGAUUGAUUCUUGGCCUGGACAUCUUCCUUAAAGUGCCUAGUGUUCCCACAUUGGGUACAAGGCCAGUCAUCAGAGACAGUGACGUACUUGCUAUGAGGGUUGUGAGGAGUUUUCUACCUUUGGGACCCUAUUCCCUUCCUGUUUUCACAAUCAUUAGUAUGCAAGGCAAUGGUAACUUCUGAGGACCAGGUCCACUUUAGGGACUUUUCAAGAUCAUUAUUUACUCUUUCCAGAUCAGUUUGGAGUUGCUCAUUUUUCUUAAUUUCCGCACACAUCCUAGAUCUUAUAGCUUUCACCUCAUUUUCAAGCCUAAUGUGUUCCUCACUAGCUAUCUCAUUUCCCUUUCCAAAAUUUUCAGGUUUUGACUUAGUCCAUGGUUUCACUAUUGUUUCCCUUAGGUCUAUAAUUUUUGCCAAUAGAUCAUCCUUUUCUUUUCUAAGGAUUUCAAUGGUUUUAUUAUGGUCAGUAACUACAACCACUAAGUCGUCUUUAGUUUGUUCAAAUUCUCCUAAUUCUAAGGUCAAGGAAUCCCUAUCCUCCACAAGACUAUGAAAAACAGUAAUAAAUACUUUAACUAAAAACAUGAGUUUUUUGGGAGAAUAGGAUUUCAGAUUUCUCUGAACAUCCCUGAAAGUUACCUUUUUGUUGUCGUUGUCUUCAUCAUCAUCUAAUUGAGCCAUCAAAGCAAAAGUUAAGUCAUAACCAAUCUCCUCGCCUUCAACUGCCAUCAUGGAACUAUCACCAAUAUCAGGUUCAUCUUCAAACUCAGUAGAGGAAUCCCUCCAUGUUGCAAGAGCAUGUCUGAUCAUAUUGUCAGCAGAUCUUUUUCUCUUGAAGUCCUUGAAAGGAACCGGGUUCGUCUUAGCUGUUUUCUUAUGGUAGUUCUGGGAGAAUUCUUCCUUUAAGAGAGGACAGUCUUUCAUGAAAUGUCCAGGCUUUCCACACUUGUAGCAAAGAUCGCGAUUUUUACUCUGUUUGAGCUGUCCCUUUUUAGCAUUUCUCCAUUUCUUCUAACCAUCUUCUGAAAUCUUUUGUUUAAGUAAGCCAUGUCGCUGUAUUCCUCACUUGAAUCAUUGUUAUCAGCUUUAAGUACCAGGUUCUUUUCCUUAUUUGGUUCUCUUCUUGCACUGUCUAUCUUUCUCUUCAACUCAUAAGUCUUCAAGUUUCCGAUCAACUCUUCUAUGGUCAGCUCCUGUAAGUCCUUUGACUUAGUGAUAUCAUUAACUUUGCUUUCCCAAGAACUAGGAAGAAAACUGAGGAUUUUUCUUACUAGCCUGUUUCUGGGGAUAGUUUCACCAAGUUAGUGUAACUCAUUUAUGAUGGAAGUGAAUCUUGUGUGUAUAUCUUGAAUGGAUUCAUCAUCCCUCAUUUUGAAGAGUUCAUACUCGGUAGUGAGCAUAUCAAUCUUAGACUAUUUUACUUGUGUAGUUACCUCAUGCGCUGUUUGCAAAGUUCUCGUAUCUCCUUCGCAGUGUCGCAGGUAGAGAUUCUAUUGUACUCUUCACGUCCUAUUCCACAUACCAGAAUUUUCUUGGCACGAAAAUUCUCCUCCACAACUUUCUUGUCUGCUUCAGUGUACUCGUUGCUGGUUUUUGCCAUUGAAAAUGGAAAUUCCUCUAGUACCUUGGUUGGAACAUAAGGACUAUCGCAUAUGAUAUCACAUAACUCACAAUCCUCAGCCAUGAUAAAAUCGUGCAUUCUUGUUUUCCACUACCUAUAGUAUUGUCCAUUGAACUUGGGUGGUCGGUAUAUAGAUUGACCUUCUUCAAAAUUUGGUAGAGCAGCCAUGAGGAUCCUUCCUAGGUGUUAGCCUGAUAGGAGAAAACCGCUCUAAUACUAAUUGUUAGUUUGUGUAAGUCCACCAAAUAGUAGAGUACUUGGUCCUCUACGAGAUUCUACUGAGAAUGCAAAUAAAACAGUACGUAAAUAAGGGAGAGGAGUUUUACAUGGAAAAAUCCCAUACAAGGGGAUCAAAAAACCGCGACCUAUACCAGUAGGAUUUAAGCCUCACUAACUUGUAAAACCUAUUACAAGCCAAUUUGCAAUGACUCCACUACAAAGAAUUUACUCAACUAACUUGUGGUACUCUUACCACAAGGCACUUUGUGACUUCCUUGUUACAAAGGCUUUUACUAACUUGUGAUGCUCUCACCACAAGCCACUUUAUAACUCUACGAUUACAAAGAUUUUUGCUUAUGACUAUACCUAGUCACAACAUAAACACAAGGAGUUUACGGAUUUGCAAGAGGAUUCCUAAUCAAACGCUUCUAGCUAAGCAGUUUAGGAGAUACAGUAAGUACAAUCACAAAGUUACAACUCCACUAGGACAACAACAAGCUAUCUUUUAGGAACUGGUUCGUAGUUGCGUUUAGCUUUGUUCUUCAAGCUUGUGAGGAUUGUUUUCUCUAUUUUUUGAAAGAAGCUUGAAUGAGAAACUGAAACCUUCAAGUGAUGUUUUGUAUAAACUCAUUGUAGGUACAUCUUGAUCACAUCACUUGAAAUGAUGUGAGCACUUUAGUUGGUCAGAGAAUGGUGGAUGCUAGAGACAGUGCAGUGCAACAGAAACAGUAUUCAGUCACUUCAUUUCCAGCUAUGACCAAUUGACUUGUGCUGUGAUAAGGAAAGCACAAGGGUAUCAUGUCCUUGUUUGGAUUCCUAGCUCCUGAAGCUGUAACAGUUCUUAUUUUGCUGGAAUUCGUUAAGCUUGCAGUAUAGUCCGAGUAGGUCAACUUCCCUAUCUGGUUCUUAACAGUAGGUUUGUUAGAUCAUCAAAACAUAAGGCAAGAACAUUUAAAACUUAUCAAUUUCCCCUUUUUGAUGAUGACAAACUUAACAAUUAUAGAGUGGAUUUAGAACAGUAAGAACCAGAUUAUGUAACAGGAUAACACAUGUUUCCCCUGACUCUAUCAGGAUAACACAGGUUCCCCCUGAAACACAGGCCCCGUGUUAUUUUUCCCCCUUU